Molecule: transfer RNA, 75 nt
Filed under: Gammaproteobacteria bacterium
Lineage: Bacteria; Pseudomonadati; Pseudomonadota; Gammaproteobacteria
Also listed under: 5 other names
Description: tRNA-Val
Rfam family: tRNA
About the family: Transfer RNA (tRNA) molecules are approximately 80 nucleotides in length. Their secondary structure includes four short double-helical elements and three loops (D, anti-codon, and T loops).
Source: RNAcentral
AGGCGCGUAGCUCAGUGGUAGAGCACUACGUUGACAUCGUAGGGGUCGGCGGUUCAAACCCGCCCGCGCCUACCA